This is a long non-coding RNA of Gallus gallus (chicken), 9523 nucleotides long. RefSeq lists it as uncharacterized. The record is from RefSeq and is a predicted model, not a curated record. The transcript is spliced from 2 exons. NCBI's taxonomy places the organism in Eukaryota, Metazoa, Chordata, Aves, Galliformes, Phasianidae.
GCGGCGCCGGGCGGGGCCGGCCCUCACUCACCAGCGGGCCCAGCGGACACAAAGCGGCCCUCUAAUGGCGGCGGCGGGGGAACCGGCGGGGGAGGGGCGGGGGGGGCCGGGGCAAAGGGGCGGGGGCGGGGCGAGGAGGCGGGGCCCCGCCGGGUGAUGGGCGGGGCAUGGUGGAGCCGCCGGCCAAUGAUGAGCCGCGGGCAUUUUUCGAACGCGGGGCGCUCUCCCCCUUUCCCUCCCUCUGCCGUGGAUGUGGAUGUGGGUGUGCGCGUGCGCGGCGCCUUCCCGCCCAACGCUGUGCUGAGGUGUUUCCCGCCUCGGCCUCCUGAGGGUGCUGGAGGGCCUCGCGCUCGCUCCGUGGCCUGCAGCCUUACCCCCUCAUUUCUUUCUCACGUUCCUUCAGGUGGCUGCUACACCUGAGAGCGUCUCUGCCCAAAGCCGGCUGCUGUGACUGAGGUCAUCUUCUCCACCCCAGCCUUUCUCCCUGGUUUUUUGCUUUCUUCUUUGUCUCCUACACUGAACAGCCUUAGCCAGAUGGUUCCACUUUGCCAAACAUUCCUUCUUUUCUUGUGAGUGCGGAAUAACCACAGCGCAGCUGCACAGCAAUGUGUUCUUUGGCCUUUCCCCCCAAGCGGUGCCUCUCUGGCAGGAGGGGUGGGAUUAGGAGGAGAGGGAGCAAGAGAGAACAUGCUGCUUUGCUGAAGACUUUUAAGACACGAUGAAGGAAAAGAUGAAAUCACCCCAGCUGCCCUCCCCUUGCUCACUGCAAGCCUUUGUGCAAUACUCCAGCACCUGCACUUGCCGACCCACAGGGCUGCACUGAGACACAAGCAGAGGAGGAGAAAGGCUUUUGUUGUCUCUCUCCAUCUCUCUCUCUCUCUCUCUUUUUUUAAUAUCUCUAAAUCCUCCCCAGAGGGGAGCUGUGGGCCCUGUGCAUUCCUUACAGCCACAUGCCUGCCUGACCACAGCGGGCUGGGAAGCCUGCAAAAAUACUGCGCCUGGGCAAGGCAGCUGCAUCCCACAGAGGGAGCAUGGCGCUGCUCAAUCUCCUCUCCUCUCCACCCCAUUUUCUGGGUGGGCCGAUGUUGUUCCCUCCCCCCAUUCAUAUGGUGUAUCACACUGAGAAGAGUGAAGCUUUGGGAACCAGGGUGACCUUGCCUGCAUUGGUGAGGAUGCACAGGAGGAAGGGAGCAGUGCAGGACAGAGAAAUUGCCAUCAAACUGUGAUUGUAUACAGCACUAUCAUCAUCAUCAAAUACUUUUAAUAAGUGCUAAGCACUUUCAGUCCCUUUUCUAGCCCUCCCAGGUGCCAUGCAAUAGUAUGAACCUCAGCUGGUUCAUGGAUUUUUUUUCCCUUAAAAUUGUUUUUGAUUUUGAUUGCAGCCCUAAAGCUUCUACAAAUUUGCCUGGAGCUUUGGGUUUUGACAGCACAGUUCAGCCUGCAGUUUAAACCAGGUCAUUUAGCUAUUGCUACUGUUUAGAUGAGUAUCCAUAAAAUUUGCGUGUCGAGUGAUUUACCAUUUCCACCCCAUAUCCUUUAGAGACUUUCUAGACCAAUGCCACAUGUUCUUUUUCUACUGGAAACAUGAAACCCAUUGUACUUCUGGUCUCAGUACCUCCAUUCCAGGGGUCACAAGCCUUUUUGUUUACUUUCUUACCAUACACCAACUAAUGUUUUCCCCAUUUUGCCACAAUUUUUAUAUAUAUAUAUAUAUGUAUGUAUGUAUAAAUUUAAUAAACACAUCACCCAUGUUGUUGAACAGCUCACCACCUCAUAGGGAACAAAACAGAAGAUUAUCACUACCCGUGUCGUGGUGUGCUCUCUACACGCUGAAAUCAGCUUCUGCUGCUAUGUUCACGAUCCUGCUGGCUAAGUGGGUAUAGUGUCUUUGUCACCAAAUUCUGUUUUAACAUUGGCCUGCAGCUUCAAACUUCAUUGCUGAUUAUAUUUAGGCCUUGCCUCUGGUAUCCUUACCUCACUUUGGCAAAUUUGUUUUCCACUUUUUUACCUUGCCUUUCACAUUUGUUUUGUAAAACCAGGGAGAAUGUGAGUCUUUUUCGAUUUCAUUCCACAUCUAACUGCAAGCAGGCUGGGGAACUCCUUCCUAUUGCUUCGUUCUUUCAUCCCUCGAGCUCCAUGUUCUUCUUCAGCUUCUUGUGCUUUGAGAAACAAAUCAAAGAUUCCCCAAGAAGUCUUCAUCAAAUUGGGUAGCAUGUGUCUACUGAUUCUUCCUUUUAAACCUGUUUCUCCCUGAGUGUGUCUCUGAGGAAGGUAAUUUGGAGUUUGAUGUAACCUUGAGGCUAAGACAAGCUGUAACAGAACCAGCCUGUUGUUGCUGGCAGCGCUAUUUGAUGGGAGUCAGGCUGUGCCAUUUUGAGUGUAUGGCCACAGCAGCUAAUUUCACAGUAAACAUUCCAAGGAAGCUCACAGAGGGCUUGAGCAGGACCCUUGCUCUUCUGCCUUGAGGUUUCUGUUCAGCAAGCGGCAUGCCUGGCUGUGAAGGGAGAGCCUGGUUGAUGUUUUCAGCUUAACACAGAUAACAGGCAAUGGUGUUGAGUAUAGCUAUCCCAAGGCCAUCACAAACUCAAAGCAUUUAAUUAAUGUGGGUCUCACAUCAAUAUGAGAGACUACCUUGGGCUGAGUGAAGCCCCUCUGCAGCAUGCAAAAGUAUGAGGUGAUGAAGGACUUGUCUGCUUCACAAAAUGGUGUCACUAUUCCCACAGAUCCUGGACAGCACAUACAGUUCUUGACUUCUAGAACAAAUGAUGUGAUGUUCUUUAACCACAGCUUUGUACUUUGUUGCCAUUCUGGGCAUGUUUGGCUGCUUUACCAACUGUACAUCUGUUAUGAUUGCCAGAACAACUUAGAAUUCUCUUCUAGCAUACUGUGUUUGCUGUAACUGCAAAAAUCACUCAAUUUCUGCUUUCAAAAAAUGCAUAUUCUCUGACACUUUGUGACCCUCCAGACACUACCUUUGAUCUUUUCAUCAGCCUCCAACAAUUUUUUCGCCAUACUUUUCCACUCCCACACUUCCAGACUGUUCCACAUUCCACUCCCAGCUGAUCUCUGUUGCUCCUCCUAAUACCCAUUAGGGAUAAUGGGAUAAAUAAACAGCUAGCUUUUCUUUUCAAACCCUUUCCAAUUUUCCAACCAAUCUGCUUACUUUUGAACUUGCCCACUCGUUUUCAUAUUAGUUCCUAACGAAUGAAUAAAAAUAUGAUAAAAAAUACCAAAGUUUGAUCUCUUCCGGAGCCAAGAUGGGUUUUUAUGUAUGGCAGAAACGUACCUGCCACUGGAACUGGCAGAAAUUUUGACCAUAAAGAAAGGACCUUUCAGAAAAAUGCUGUGGGCUAAGUAGCCUCCACAGGCUGCUGCUUUUCUAGAGAUGCCCUAAUCUGAAAUAGAUCCUUAUGACUAAUGAGGCAGAUAUGGUCAUCGCUGGGAAACCAGUGGCUGGAAGUUGUGCUUUUUCCAUCACACUUCUGGCAUUACAGCAGUGAUUUAUUUUACCCCAAGCUAGCAAGAAGAAACAGUGGCUCCCCUAAGCCAAAGACAGUUUGAAGUCAACCAGCUUGGCGUUUCACAGUAGGUCAACACACCUUUCCCAAAGCUGUGUGUCCCCAUGGUUAGUUUCUGACAGUGGGAAUGCUGUUCAGUUCCUUUAGUCUCUGAACCAAAUACCAUUUCAAAUUGAAAUUGGUUCGCAGCAGGCUGCGGCGCAGAGCAGGCAGCGGCUGUUCCUCUCAACCAGGCAGGUAAUAACUUACUGUCAGGAACGCCUCCCGGCUGGGACACUUUUCCAGCUACAAAAGCUCAUUUUUGGCUGCUGUGUGUGCACUGUGUGCCCCUGCUACCAGCAGCAUGCCCAGCACACUCAGCGGCCUGGCUGGGCUAUGGCCUUCACACUGGUCCUGCAGCUGUAACAGAGCAACAGCAUGCCAGCAAGCCUUUCUAGGAAGACAAAACCCUUUGGCUGAGCAGGAAUUUAAAGCAUUUUUGGCGAUAGCUCUUGCUCGAAGCAUACAGUCAGAUCUGGUGCUGGCUCACUUGUCUCUCCAUGGGAAAUCCUGUCGGCUGGCUCGUCUUUGACAUUUGACAGCCAUAGUCCAGGCUCCUGUUCAAAUGAACUACCUUGUGAUGGUGGAGGCAGCCAGCAGAAUCGGAUGUGUUCACCUUUUCUUGGAGGAUGAGCAUGUGCUCUGCAGAGAAGAUCUGUGAAAUUCUUUGUAUUUGAUGAUUACAUUGCAUGAAAAAAGCAUCUCAUGUCAGCUGAUCCCAAGGCAGACACUGAUACUGUAAGAAAGCAAUUCAGAGGAAGCAGCUGGGAUAGGUUCUAUCAGCCCACUGUUGUGUUGUCCUUUUGUGGCAGUUCACUGGAAUUAUUUCUGCCCUGAAGACCCAAAGCAGGGCUGUGCAGCAGGAGAACAAUGCCAUGGACUGUGCUCAUCAUCAUAAGUUAAUGUGGCAGCAGUGCCACAGCCCUGCAGAGCCUCCUCCCUUCUUAGGACCCCUUGUUCUGGUGCAGUACACAGGUACCCAGCACAACUCGGUCACGUACAACCAGGAGGUGGCCAAGACGGACAGCUCAUUCAUUUAAGUCUAUCUUUACAGGCAGAGAGCAUUUGCACCCAGCAUUAUUUCAGAAUAGCUUAUUCUGAUGCAUUGAAAUUACCCGUUUUCCUCCACAGGUGAGACCCACAAGUACCAGUUGAAAUGAUCUUUUCAGCCCUUCUCUGCAGUGCUGUAGUAAAAGACUUCUAACAGUGCUCUCCUACAUGUUAAUGCUCUGCACUCCAAGCUUGGGAACUGUGCUUUGUGACAACAUCUGCUAUUAACCCUCACAGGGGGCUGGAACAAGACAACUAAGCAUGCAAAAGGAAGGCUUUACUGUUUUCUCCUCUCACAUUAAUACAAAGAUUUCCUAACUUCCUUAAAGCAUUGAUUGCCUUCCCCAUGACCCCUUUCUCCCUUCCAGUUUGCAGUCACAGCACAAACAUCCCUGCAGCUGGGACAGCAAUGGCACAGUUGGACAAAUUCCCCUUUGGAAAGCACUGAAUGGAGCAGGAGCUGGUUUUAUUUCUCUCUUCUUUUCAGUGCAAUUUAGCAGCUGGAAGGGAGGGAGAUAAACCAGCUCCACAUGAUGAAAACUUUCCAUAGAUCAUGGUCAGGGCAUCCCUACAGCUGCAUUUAAAUACGCAGGAGUUAUUUCAGACAUAACUGAUUGUCAGGAUAGGCGGUAUGAAGAGCCCCGUGGAAAAUACAAGGGUAGAAAACUUCUACUGAAGUUUCCUCAGAUAUGUGCGAGGGUUUAGUCAUGCUGCUGGAAGCUGAGUGGGCUGAUCAAUCUCACACUUGCUGUGGUUGCUUGUCUGUCGCCAUGCUUUUCCUGCCAUGGCUCCUUGAGGAUUAUCUAUCCACGGCGCUGGAGUGCCAAGCAGCCGCGCAGCCCUGGGCUCCAUCCUACUGUUGCUGCAGUGUGCAUGUGGCCCUCAGGCCUCAGAGCAUUGCUCAGGGUUUCUAUCAGCGUGUGGCCUUUCGCACACCCUGAGUUAGCACCUUAUUAAAAGAAAGUGGCAGGUGAAGAGCUGGCGCUUCUGCUGAUGUUGUUUGGCCAGAGAUGCUACUCAGUUGGCCUAGGGUCAAGUAGCAGCAGAGAGCCAACAUCUUCCAAAGAGCAGAAAGAGCCAAGAUCUCCCUCCCAAGCACGUCAUGUGGGAGCUCAGUGCUUGCUAGUCUGCCCUUCUGCCCCGUGCUUCCUCCUCAGCAGCCCUGACCAGACUCCCACCUCAUGGCACCUCACCACCAGCACAUCUACCUCUGGCCAACAGCCACCUCACCUAAAGGGAGCUGAGUGUCUUGAGGCUGCUCUGCAGUUAUCACCAUUUCCCUGGUGUGGUCUUCAGGGAAGCCGUGCGGGUACAAGAGGGUUAUCAUAGAAUCACAGAAUCAUAGAAUCUUGAGGUUGGAAAGGACCUAUAAGAUCAUCUAGUCCAACUGUCCUCCCAUUACCCUUGCUACCACAAGCCACUAAACCAUAUCUCGUAGCUCCUCAUCCAGACGCCUCUUGAACGCUGCCAGGGACGGCGACUCCACCACCUCCCUGGGCACCCAUUCCAGUGCCUGACCACCCUCUGAGAGAAAAAGUUUCUCCUAAUGUCUAACCUAAACCUCCUCUGGCACAACUUGUGGCCAUUUCCUCGGAUCCUGUUAUUUGCCUGGGAGAAGAGGCCAAACCCAUCCUCAUCACAGCCUCCCUUCAGGAAGUUGUAGAGUGCAAUGAGGUCUCCUCUGAGCCUCCUCUUCUCCAGACUGAACAAUCCCAGCUCCCUCAGCCGCUCCUCACAAGGCCUGUGCUCCAGACCGCUCGCCAGUUUUGUUGCCCUUCUCUGGACACGUUCCAGGGCCUCGAUGUCUUUCUUGUAGUGAGGGGCCCAAACCUGAACACAGUACUCGAGGUGCGGCCUCACCAGUGCUGAGUACAGGGGGAUGAUCACCUCCCUGCUCCUGCUGGCCACGCUAUUUCUAAUGCAGGCCAGGAUGCCAUUGGCCCUCUUGGCCACCUGGGCACACUGUCGGCUCAUGUUCAGCCAAGCAUCAACCAACACCCCUAGGUCCCUUUCCUCUUCACAGUCAUCCAGCCACUCAUCCCCAAGCCUGUAGCGCUGCAUGGGGUUAUUGUGGUCAAAGUGCAGGACCCAGCACUUGGCCUUGGGUGUGGGUAUGUGUGCCUGGUUUUGAGUUUGCUGCCUACAAAGCUGAACCCUCUCGCAUCUGUGGAACAAACCAAAUGCAAGGGACUGGUACCAGGGGCACAGCUGUACUAACUGUUCUGCUCUACAGUGAAUGCUUCUGACAAACCAACAAGCUUCAGGUACCUUUGUCUGCAAAAAACUCGAGUUGGAACUCAACAUACAGGAACAAUCACAGCCACCCUUUUGGCAACCAGAUGCCAACAUCUACAGUUGGUUUUAAGGAUUUUCUCAGAGGCCCUGCAUUGUCUUUCUCAGAAGAAAUGAUCUGUAGGUUACAAACAGGGGUCACAGGGAUGCAGCAGACUGGUAAGUUGCUAUUAGCUUAAAUCUGUCUUGUACAUGCUGGAAAGCACCUCUACUGCCAAAUCCCUUUUCCCAAAUCUCUUUCCGUGAGCCUUUAGCUACCAGCUCUUGCACCAGGGAGUGAUGGUCCUGGGCAAAAUCACAACCACAUCAUGACUAUUCUCAUGACUGUUCUCACUUGCAGAGUACCUGCAACAUCCCUGUCACAAGCUUUUGGGAGCUGCUGCCUCGUUUAGAAAUGGAAAGCACUCAGGUGUGACCGUGAGUAGCACCGUGCCACAACCCACGUGACUCAGGAGCACCUCGGGCUCCUUGGCUCCAGUGCACACAGGGCACAGCUGAAACGCAGCCAGACUGGGCAGUUUUAUAGGGAAAAAGCAAAAGGCAGAGCUGCACACCAAGGUCUAUUUCUUGAGAAAAGUCUUGAGAAGAUAAGGCUAAAAACUGAAAUGAGGUAACACAAGAAGACACUGCAAGGUCUGUUAUCUGCGUAUUCCCUGACCUCAUUCCUAGAAAUGGCCGAUGCAGUCCUGGAAACACUUUCCUAGAAAGAAACCAGCCUUAGGCACACACCUGGCCUGGAUACUUUGAAUGCUCCAGGUACAGGGACAUUUUCAGCAAGGAAGACAAACAGAGACAGUGAUGCAUCUGCUCCUCCUUGCCUGCGCCUUUGAUAGCACACACAGCACAAGAAGGGCUCCCAGCAGUGGAAAUGGCUUUUAAUGCAUCUCUUUCCUGCUGAGCUGCAUUAACUCCCUGCCAUGUUCAUGAGCCUGCCCAGGCGAUGUGUUUAAAUGCUUUGUAGGACCAAGAUGGAAGGGGAAAAGAAAACAAACCACAAGCACUUAGUAUUAUUAGGGGAUAUCUGCUGUCCUCCCUGCUUACACUUUGCUGUAUCACUAGGUAACAACACGCAUGUAUGUAGAAUGAGGCUUCUGCAAAUCAAUCACGAGAAGAAAACUUAUCAUUAUUAAUUACCCUCUUUUCUGUUUCAUGCAUCUCUUACAGUUUUUCUCUUUUAACACCCUACAGGGAGGAUGUGUUGCAAAGAUCUUCAUGGACCACUAGCUACAUCCCAAAAUCCAUGCAGAUUUAGAAGGCAACUGAAAAGCAGCUGCAGCCUGCAGGUAAGCAAGCAGCAUGUGGCAAACAGAGCAAGGCGGGCAGAGGAAGCAAUUUUGCUCCAAGGUUGGACCAGAUGUGCUCCUUUUGGUGACAUUUGUAGGAAGCUGAGCCUCAAGGCAACAUAUCCACUGCUGGAAGCCUAUGCCCAGCGUAUAAACUUCUUACAUCACUCCAUGUACAGAUUUAUUCCUCCAGCUUAAGAAGGUGUAAAAAUUCCUGUGUUGCGAACACACCUUUUCAGAGCCUUUGGGUAAUUCUGAAAACAUUCUUAAAACCUCUGAAACCUUCCUUCCUGCUGCAAGACACUAACAAGGCAAGUUUCCACUCCCUAGGCACAUUUACCAUUACAGGCUCAAACAAGGAGGGGAGAGACUUUUCUCCUCUACCCAUGUGCUCACUGAUCCCCUUCCUUCCAGCAAGUGGUUUUCCAGCUCCUUCAGUCUGAAGAUUCAAGCUCUCCAACAUCCCUGCCCUUGCACGCUCUGAUUCACAUGAAUGUUCAAAGGCUCCAGCAAUUUCUACCUUUCUGAUUCAAUGCAAACAACACACAAAUCACAGUCCUUGUGUAGCGGCACAUGGCAGCUCUGGCAUAGGACACACACAUCCCCAGCAGGGUCUGAACACUGCCCACCUUCCAAGAGAAAAUUCAUCCGGUGUGAGUGCUGCACAACUUAGCAAAUAUUUGGCCUAAUCUAUACACAAACUCACAUCUUAACUGAACUAUUUCACUGCUACAAACCAUCACAUACCCACUCUUGUUCUGGCUCAAAAAUUAGCUUUUGCAAGAAGAGCACACACACAACCCAUAAAGCUUUACAAACCAUCAUGGAAUGGUGAGCCCAAGGCUGGGGGUGGGGAGGGGAGCAGCUGUAGAUGAGGAACUGCUGGGUGUUAUACAGGCAGAUACAUACAUAUCCAUAUAUUAUGGGUGAGAAGUUUUUUGUUUUUUUUUAAAUCUUUUUUCUUUUUCUUUUUUAACAAAACAUCAGAGAAAAGUAUUUUAUUGUUAAUUAAAAAAAAAAAAAAAGAACUGAACAAUGCUCUAGUGUUUUAGGCCAUGGAUUCUCUAGCUCAGAUGCAUGGCAUGGAACACACAUUAACAGGGAAAGUGUCACACAGACAUCUCCCCCUCCAGCCACAACCAGGUACCCUCCUCCCUUCCCCUUGGUGAUCAAGUAACGUCCUUAUGCGAGUACAGCAAUUGUUUACAUGUAAAAGUAAGAUUAGGAAAGUAUUUAAUGUAUUUUUUGCCUUUUUUUUUCUUGUUUUUCCUUUUCUUUUUCCCUUUUUUUUUUUUUUUUUUUUAAGAUUAAAAAGAAGUGGUUUAGCAGCUGGAAAGAAAA